RNAcentral lists this ribosomal RNA (496 nucleotides) under uncultured bacterium. Its description in RNAcentral is "partial 16S ribosomal RNA". It matches the Rfam family "Bacterial small subunit ribosomal RNA", at positions 28 to 506 of the family's 1533-position model. The record is from RNAcentral.
GAUGAACGCUGGCGGCGUGCCUAAUACAUGCAAGUCGAGCGAACGGACGAGAAGCUUGCUUUUCUGAUGUUAGCGGCGGACGGGUGAGUAACACGUGGAUAACCUACCUAUAAGACUGGGAUAACUUCGGGAAACCGGAGCUAAUACCGGAUAAUAUUUUGAACCGCAUGGUUCAAAAGUGAAAGACGGUCUUGCUGUCACUUAUAGAUGGAUCCGCUCUGCAUUAGCUAGUUGGUAAGGUAACGGCUUACCAAGGCAACGAUGCAUAGCCGACCUGAGAGGGUGAUCGGCCACACUGGAACUGAGACACGGUCCAGACUCCUACGGGAGGCAGCAGUAGGGAAUCUUCCGCAAUGGGCGAAAGCCUGACGGAGCAACGCCGCGUGAGUGAUGAAGGUCUUCGGAUCGUAAAACUCUGUUAUUAGGGAAGAACAUAUGUGUAAGUAACUGUGCACAUCUUGACGGUACCUAAUCAGAAAGCCACGGCUAACUACGU